GCCCAGACUCCUACGGGAGGCAGCAGUGGGGAAUAUUGCACAAUGGGGGAAACCCUGAUGCAGCGACGCCGCGUGAGCGAUGAAGUAUUUCGGUAUGUAAAGCUCUAUCAGCAGGGAAGAAGAUGACGGUACCUGACUAAGAAGCCCCGGCUAACUACGUGCCAGCAGCCGCGGUAAUACGUAGGGGGCAAGCGUUAUCCGGAUUUACUGGGUGUAAAGGGAGCGUAGACGGCGAUGCAAGCCAGAUGUGAAAGCCCGGGGCUCAACCCCGGGACUGCAUUUGGAACUGUGUGGCUGGAGUGUCGGAGAGGCAGGCGGAAUUCCUAGUGUAGCGGUGAAAUGCGUAGAUAUUAGGAGGAACACCAGUGGCGAAGGCGGCCUGCUGGACGAUGACUGACGUUGAGGCUCGAAAGCGUGGGGAGCAAACAGGAUUAGAUACCCGAGUAUA
Molecule: ribosomal RNA, 448 nt
Filed under: uncultured bacterium
Lineage: Bacteria
Description: bacterial SSU rRNA
Rfam family: Bacterial small subunit ribosomal RNA
Source: RNAcentral